AAUAGUUUUCCUUAUUUUUAAAGAUGUAUAUAUUUUAUUUAUUCCUACCUUUAUAUAAUGAUUUACAUUUGGUUAAUUUCAAUAAUUUGUACCACACUGAUGUUGGUUUGUUAUUAUUUAUUUUUUAUACAUGUAUAUUUUUUCAACCUUUUCAAAAUCAUUUUAUGAUUGUUCUAUAAACAUAAUAUUAAUGCCUAGACUUGAAAUUGUAUUUCCAUUGUUGUUAAUUGCUUGUUCCUUAAUUAAUCUUGUUUAUUUCGUUGUAAUUAAAUUUGUAUAGCCUAUUUUCUACAUUCAUACAUAUGCCAUAAAAAUAUUGCUGUCCUAUCAGUGCUGAAGUCCAAAUAAGUAGAAGUCCUAUAAAAAAAAUAAGUAAAAAUAAAUGUUUGUCCUACUACGUUUUGCACCGGUCUCAACCCCCCAAUAAAUAUUGACCGGUCCCUAAGUAGACCAAACUGAAGAGCAGUAAUCUAGGUUUGAUCGUACCAUAAAUUUAUAAGCAAACUUUUUAUUUCUUCCUGUAUUAUUUUCUUUUAGUUUCUUUUGCAGUGAUGUUGUUAAUAUGGGUAUCUCAUGCUAUGUUGUUGGAUAAGGUGAUACCAAUAUAUUUUGUUGUGUUGACGGAUUCUAAAAUGUGACCAUUUAGUACAUAGUCAUAUUUGUAUGGUGACUGUGAAUCACUAGAUCGGCGUUUUGCAUUUGCGCCGAUCUGCAUUUCAUUUGCGCCGAUUUUUUCUUUCAUUUGCGCCGAUUUUUUUUUUCAUUUGCGCCGAUUUUUUUACAGGUAAAUAACAGGUAAAUUACAGGUAUAAGAAGAUGUGGUAUGAGAGCCAAUGAGACACCUCUCCAUCCCAGUAAUGUUAUUUUCAUUUAUCAUUAAAGACCUCUUCCGUUAGCCAGUUGUACAUGUGUUAUGAAUUGUCAAUCAUAACAUGUAUAUAACUGUUGUCUCCUGCUUAAAAUCAAGAAGUAAAAAACCUAAGAUAAAAGAACUUUGUUUAUACUAAAAUGACGAAUUAAAAAUAUAUGUAGCAGCAUUUAAAUCCAUAAAAACGGAAUACAUUCAAAUCAUAAAUCUGUUCUUGCCGAGUAUGUAUAGGCAACACAUCUAAUGUAUUCCUUUCUUAUGAUUUCGUCUCUAUUUCUUCUAUAUUUGACAAAAUUGUCGAUAACGAAGGUCUCUUUUCUUUGUCUGGCAUACGUACUUGUGGGGACAUUUCUAGAGUUUGCAUUUUCUCACAAGGAAGCUAUUAAACCAAGAGUUCCAAAUGGUGAAGUUGAAAUAAUCCCUUCUUUAAUUUAUGGACGCCAUCACGAAUUGGUUGACCGUUAUGGAAUGUGUACUUGUACGUUGUCUAAGAAUGUAUGACAUUUGCCAUCAGAAGGAGCGUCAGACAAUGUCAAACGUGAAGCAGUCAUCGAUUUCAUUUAGGGAAAGGAACCGUAACCCGAAACAUUGGGAUAGCCAUUUACCAAUUGCAAUGUCACUUGAUUUGUCUGUAUACUCUGUGCUCAGCCAAUGUAAAAGUAUGAACUUACCUGUAACUUACCUGUAAAUCCAAUUAAGAAAAAAAUAUAAAAUCGGCGCAAAUGAAAAAAUGAAAUCGGCGCAAAUGAAAGAAUGAAAAUUUUCAAAAUCGGCGCAAAUGUCAUACGCCGCACUAGAUUUAUAAAAGUUAAAUGCAUUUUGUGUUUCAGAAAGAUAAAAUCUUUUUGGAAUUUGAUGGGCAUUUUUGAACGAUCCUGCAGGUCCGUUUUAUACAUAUCUAGUGGAUGCCAGAACUUUUCAAACUGCACAGGUUAAUCUGUACUCAGAGUAGUUUUAGAGGUGAAAAUACAACCAGUUUCCCAUUUGUUUAAUAUGGUGAAUCUCAACAAAUCGAGAUGACCUUCAGAAGACUGACAACGUUAAAAUAAUCAGUUAUAGCUAUGAAAGUCCGUUUGAU
Molecule: long non-coding RNA, 1946 nt
Filed under: Mytilus galloprovincialis (Mediterranean mussel)
Lineage: Eukaryota; Metazoa; Mollusca; Bivalvia; Mytilida; Mytilidae
Source: RNAcentral